Molecule: ribosomal RNA, 497 nt
Filed under: uncultured bacterium
Lineage: Bacteria
Description: partial 16S ribosomal RNA
Rfam family: Bacterial small subunit ribosomal RNA
Source: RNAcentral
GAUGAACGCUGGCGGCGUGCCUAAUACAUGCAAGUCGAGCGAACAGACGAGGAGCUUGCUCCUCUGACGUUAGCGGCGGACGGGUGAGUAACACGUGGAUAACCUACCUAUAAGACGGGGAUAACUUCGGGAAACCGGAGCAAAUACCGGAUAAUCUAUUGAACCGCAGGGUGCAAUAGUGAAAGUCGGUUUUUCGGUCACUUAUAGAUGGAUCCGCGCCGCAUUAGCGAGUUUGUAAGGUAACGGCUUACCAAGGGAACGAGGCGUGGCCGACCUCAGAGGGUGGUCGGCCACACUGGAACUGAUCCACGGUCCAGACUCCUACGGGAGGCAGCAGUAGGGAAUCUUCCGCAAUGGGCGAAAGCCUGACGGAGCAACGCCGAGUGAGUGAUGAAGGUCUUCGGAUCGUAAAACUCUGUUAUUAGGGAAGAACAAAUGUGUAAGUAACUAUGCACGUCUUGACGGUACCUAAUCAGAAAGCCACGGCUAACUACGUG